Molecule: non-coding RNA, 72 nt
Organism: Carassius gibelio (silver crucian carp)
Lineage: Eukaryota; Metazoa; Chordata; Actinopteri; Cypriniformes; Cyprinidae
Source: the annotation of a RefSeq genome assembly
GGGGAUGUAGCUCAGUGGUAGAGCGCAUGCUUUGCAUGUAUUAGGUUCUGGGUUCAAUCCCCAGCAUCUCCA